CGGACGGGUGAGUAAUGUCUGGGAAACUGCCUGAUGGAGGGGGAUAACUACUGGAAACGGUAGCUAAUACCGCAUAACGUCGCAAGACCAAAGAGGGGGACCUUAGGGCCUCUUGCCAUCGGAUGUGCCCAGAUGGGAUCAGCUAGUAGGUGGGGUAACGGCUCACCUAGGCGACGAUCCCUAGCUGGUCUGAGAGGAUGACCAGCCACACUGGAACUGAGACACGGUCCAG
RNAcentral lists this ribosomal RNA (232 nucleotides) under uncultured bacterium. Its description in RNAcentral is "partial 16S ribosomal RNA". It matches the Rfam family "Bacterial small subunit ribosomal RNA", at positions 99 to 334 of the family's 1533-position model. The record is from RNAcentral.